RNAcentral lists this long non-coding RNA (928 nucleotides) under Ananas comosus (pineapple). RNAcentral describes it as "long non-coding RNA (ACOM_LNC022955)". Lineage: Eukaryota; Viridiplantae; Streptophyta; Magnoliopsida; Poales; Bromeliaceae. The record is from RNAcentral.
CAAGUGCAAUUAUAACUUGGAAGGUAAUUAGGAAAAUUCUAGAAUGCAACGGGUAUAUUGGGAACGUGGCGUAACAAAUCAAUCAAAAAUUUUCUUUUAAAGAUAUAUGUCCCAUCAUGAUUAUAAAAAAAUAUUUUUAUUGUAUUUUUGUUUGAAAAGAAGAAAGGUGAUUGGUUUGUUAUUUAUGAUGUGGUGUAAGUGUGAUAGUGUAGAAUUCCUCGGUAAUUAGAGGGAUAGUCUCAAAGUGCAGUUGAAAUUGCAGUAAAUUUAUAGAUAGCUUUAACUGUUGCAGUUGAGCCUCCUCGCACAGUUUUGAUUGCGGCAGUUGAAUUCAAAUACAUUAAAAUAAACGCUAGAUUUGAAUCUAUAUAUAAUUACAAUUGCGAUAUAGUUGCAACUAUGUGCAACCAAACAGUCCGUGAUAUAUAUGCUGUAUUGGUUAAGAGAAUAAUUCUACGUAGUGAUAUAAACUUACAUGUUUGCUCACCAAAGUAUAUAACAAUACUUAGAGCAAGUAGCAAAGGGCUUGGUGGUUAGUAUCCGAGACCCAAGUUCGAAUCCUAGUUGAUUCACAUUUCCAACUAAGUUUAUUUCUAAAUAAAAUAAACGAAGCAGAUAGCGUGCUACCUAUCUCUCAAAAAAAAAAAAAAAUUCCAUCAAAGCACUUAGGGCGUGUUUGGUUUGAAGUCGGAGUCGGAAUCAGAAUCGGAAUCAAAAUAAGCUAGAAUCGGAAUCAAAAUGACUCAUUACCUAAUUAUGUUUGGUUCAUCACCUGAAUCGGAAUCGGAAUAAAUCAUUCUCAUUGUCGGUGUUUGGUUCAGGUGGAUAUAAAAAACAUAAUCAAAUUAAUAUACUAAUAUUAUCUUUAUAAUAUAUUAAUUUAAAUUCAAAUUAAAAAUUAAAUAUUAAAAAUUUAUAUCAAAAUUUU